UGGGAGGGCAAGUCUGGUGCCAGCAGCCGCGGUAAUUCCAGCUCUCAAAGUGCAUAGAAUUAUUGCUGCGGUUAAAAAGCUCGUAGUUGGAUCUGUGCCAUAGGACGGGGUCCACCUUCGGGUGCGUACUCUGCUCCUAGGCUUUUUGCUGGUUUUCCCGUCCUAUCCUUCACUGGUUGCGGCGGGUGGCUGGGCAGUUUACUUUGAAAAAAUCAAAAUGCUCAAUACAGGCGUCUUGCUUGAAUGAUUGUGCAUGGAAUAAUAGAAAAGGAUUUCGGUCCCCUUUUAUUGGUUUUGUGGACUGAGAUAAUGGUUAACAGGGACAAACGGGGGCAUUCGUAUCUCUGCGUGAGAAGUGAAAUUCUUGGACCGUAGCAAGACCCCCUACUGCAAAAGCAUUUGCCAAAA
RNAcentral lists this ribosomal RNA (408 nucleotides) under Cephalobidae sp. 2 MK-2017. RNAcentral's name for it is "SSU rRNA". It matches the Rfam family "Eukaryotic small subunit ribosomal RNA", at positions 548 to 963 of the family's 1831-position model. The record is from RNAcentral. Lineage: Eukaryota; Metazoa; Nematoda; Chromadorea; Rhabditida; Cephalobidae.